RNAcentral lists this ribosomal RNA (497 nucleotides) under uncultured bacterium. Its description in RNAcentral is "partial 16S ribosomal RNA". It matches the Rfam family "Bacterial small subunit ribosomal RNA", at positions 28 to 507 of the family's 1533-position model. The record is from RNAcentral.
GAUGAACGCUGGCGGCGUGCCUAAUACAUGCCAGUCGAGCGGACAGACGAUGCUCUUGCUCCUCUGACGUUAGCGGCGGACGGGUGAGUAACACGUGGAUAACCUACCUAUAAGACUGGGAUAACUUCGAGAAACCGGAGCUAAUACCGGAUAAUAUAUUGAACCGCAUGGUUCAAUAGUGAAAUACGGUUUUGCUGUCACUUCUAGAUGGAUCCGCGCCGCAUUAGCUAGUUGGUAAGGUAACGGCUUACCAAGGCAACGAUGCGUAGCCGACCUGAGAGGGUGAUCGGCCACACUGGAGGUGAGACACGGUCCAGAGUCCUACGGGAGGCAGCAGUAGGGAAUCUUCCGCAAUGGGCGGAAGCCUGACGGAGCGGCGCCACGUGAGUGAUGAAGGUCUUCGGAUCGGAAAACUCUGUUAUUGGGGAAGAACAAAUGUGUAAGUAACUAUGCACGUCUUGACGGUACCUAAUCAGAAAGCCACGGCUAACUACGUG